This 442-nucleotide long non-coding RNA is filed under the name Elaeis guineensis (African oil palm). RNAcentral's name for it is "long non-coding RNA (EGUI_LNC076925)". The record is from RNAcentral. Lineage: Eukaryota; Viridiplantae; Streptophyta; Magnoliopsida; Arecales; Arecaceae.
CCAAAAGAAAAAUCAAAAUCUAGUUAGUAUAUGAAUUGAUUAAGCCUAAAGACAUUGACUUUAAUUUAAAGGUUCUCUCACUAUUUUAUUCAAAUUAAUAGCCUCUACCUCUAAUUUGAGGAAUUACACUCAUUUCUUAAUGGGUACCAGAAUCCUCACAGGCUGCACAUGGGCUCGAGUGUGGCUCGACCAACCCCUAUGCACCUAUGGGUAGGUUCUUAACCAAUUGUUUCAGCAAACAAUUUAUAGCAAUUAAUUUUACCCCAGACAUUUUUUUCAACAGAUGUGUGGUGCCUUCACUGAAAAUUUUAAUUAGGUCCAACCAUUAACAUGUCGAAUUUAGUGUAUCUGACAAAUAAGUGAUCAGGCCUGAGUGUGGCUCGGCCAACCUGACCGUCAUUAGAAAGACAAUUAAAUUAACAUAUUAUGAAUGAUAAUUUCG